GAAGAUAAUGGAGGAGAAAACGCAAAGCUAAUUGAAGAUGUCGCUAUCAUCGCUUGACCCAUAAUAAUACGCUGUCAGUUUUCAGCAAUGGAGGUGAAAACUGCCAAACUUUGCCACUAGUUGCGCUGGUAUCGCUUAACCCAUAACAAAAUAUGCAAACAAACGUGAAAUCCCCUACUUAAUUAUUAUAACACAAGAUAAAACAUUUUGGAAGUGAAACUCUGUAUCGGCGUUGGAAAAAAAAUUACGUUACGUGACGCCGUGAAAAGAAAAGGUGGUCUGAAAAGGUAUGCGGAGACUGAUCCACUUGCAUGUAAUUUGUAAAAAGACUGUACUCAUGGCUCAAAAAGUGUAUUCAAAUGCGUUAAGCCCUUCCUUACUACUUAAAAAAAGAAGGCGUUUUUUGCUAUCAAAAAAAAUUGCUAUCAAAGUAGCACAAGAUACUUACCUAACAAGAUUGGUUUCUUCAUGCAAUCCCCAAAGGAUCUACUCGGAAACCUUUAUGAUAAUAACAAUAAUAACCUUGGUGAUAAUUUUUGUUUCAUUUUGAAAGUUAGACAAAAAUAUCUGUAUUAUCAAAACGUAACUUUUCCAGAAGUUUUUAUCAAAACCAUGCUUUUCCAAAAAUGUUUAAUCAAAACCUCACAUUUCCAAAGUAUUGGCUAAUAUUCUCAUAAAUUUUAACAGUAAUUUGGUACAUAGGUUGACUGAAACACUUUGUUUAAUAUGACAUAAUUAAAACAAUGCUGUAGUAAUAAUUUGUUAGCUAUUUUACAUUUUGCUGUUUUCCUUAAAGUUAGAAAAAGUGGAAAAGUGAGGUUUUGUUCUUCACCUCUUCAAUUAGAUUCAACAGAUCAUCAGUUAUCUUAUGUCGUAGGGAUUUUCUAAUUAUUUAAUAUUGUGGUUGUGAGAAAUGCUCAUUUUUAAAUUAUAUAUCGAUUAAGCACUAUCCUAAAUUAUUCAUUAAGAAAUAGGAAACUCCUGAUGAGACUCAUAAAUAAGAAAUAUUUAAGUUUAAUAAGUUAGUUUUAUUAUUACAGUUGUUAUGCUAUUUUAAACAACUUAAAUAAUUUCUUUGCCAAAAAAAAACACCAUCAAGAAAAAAAAUUACAUUAGAUGAUUUUGGUCUUUUCAUUGUCCUAAAUAAUACGGACUUGAAGGAAACUCUUAGCCGAAUUAAAUAGACAGAAAUUUUCACUGUGGUCAAAUCACUCAAAUAUAAUUUGUCACAAAAGUUUUCCAUGUUAAAAAAUGUGGUUCAAAAAGGAAUCAUGAAAAGACAUAAUUGUAACCUGGAUAUUAAGGUACUUAAACAUUAUGAGUGAAAUCUAGUAUGUGUAUGUAGGUGGACCUGUUGAUUUUCUAAUGAAUUUAUAUAGUCUUGGUUUAUUUUUAUUUUGGAGAUUUAUAGACCAAGAGCCAAAUAAUAUUGUUAAUUUGACUGAGACCUUUAUAUCUAUCUUUGUUGAAAACUGGUAAAAACAGUGAACAUAUUGACCACCUUGAAGAUAGGGUCUUGGGAUAGAGAUUGAUGUGUGACGCUGAAUUGAUAAAAUGAUGAUUGAUUUACAUAAUGAGUCAGAUACUGAAUCUGACAGAUACAAAAUUCAAGUUCUUCUGAUUCAGAUGAAUAAGACUUUCACACACUUUCAUCACAGUUAUUCCAAAUAAAUAUUAUAAAUUCAAA
This is a long non-coding RNA of Pieris napi, 1687 nucleotides long. RefSeq lists it as uncharacterized. The transcript has 2 exons. The record is from RefSeq and is a predicted model, not a curated record. Lineage: Eukaryota; Metazoa; Arthropoda; Insecta; Lepidoptera; Pieridae.